GUCCUUUCGCUUCUUCCUGCUGAAAGAGGUUUACAACCCGAAGGCCGUCAUCCCUCACGCGGCGUCGCUGCAUCAGGCUUUCGCCCAUUGUGCAAUAUUCCCCACUGCUGCCUCCCGUAGGAGUCUGGGCCGUGUCUCAGUCCCAGUGUGGCCGGUCGCCCUCUCAGGCCGGCUACCCGUCGUCGCCUUGGUAGGCCAUCACCCCACCAACAAGCUGAUAGGCCGCGGGCUCAUCCUUCACCGCCGGAGCUUUUAACCCCGUCCCAUGCGGGACAGAGUGUUAUCCGGUAUUAGACCCCGUUUCCAGGGCUUGUCCCAGAGUGAAGGGCAGAUUGCCCACGUGUUACUCACCCGUUCGCCACUAAUCCACCCCGAANGGCUUCAUCGUUCGACUUGCAUGUGUUAAGCACGCCGCCAGCGUUCGUCCUGAGCCAGGAUNCAAACUCUAAA
RNAcentral lists this ribosomal RNA (450 nucleotides) under Streptomyces sp. 2BC4. Its description in RNAcentral is "partial 16S ribosomal RNA". Lineage: Bacteria; Bacillati; Actinomycetota; Actinomycetes; Kitasatosporales; Streptomycetaceae. The record is from RNAcentral.